This 387-nucleotide ribosomal RNA is filed under the name uncultured bacterium. RNAcentral describes it as "bacterial SSU rRNA". It matches the Rfam family "Bacterial small subunit ribosomal RNA", at positions 28 to 417 of the family's 1533-position model. The record is from RNAcentral.
GACGAACGCUGGCGGCGUGCUUAACACAUGCAAGUCGAGCGGUAAGGCCCUUUCGGGGGUACACGAGCGGCGAACGGGUGAGUAACACGUGGGUGACCUGCCCUCAGCUCUGGGAUAAGCCUGGGAAACCGGGUCUAAUACCGGAUAUGACUCCAUGACGCAUGUUGUGGGGUGGAAAGCCUUGUGCGGCUGAGGAUGGGCCCGCGGCCUAUCAGCUUGUUGGUGGGGNGAUGGCCUACCAAGGCGACGACGGGUAGCCGGCCUGAGAGGGCGACCGGCCACACUGGGACUGAGACACGGCCCAGACUCCUACGGGAGGCAGCAGUGGGGAAUCUUGCGCAAUGGGCGAAAGCCUGACGCAGCGACGCCGCGUGAGGAUGACGGCCU